UUAGCAUGCUAGUCGUACGAGUUCAUACUCGUGGCGAAUAGCUCAGUAACACGUGGCCAAACUACCCUUCGGAGCUCGAUACCCUCGGGAAACUGAGGCUAAUAGAGCAUCCCACACUCCACCUGGAACGAGGAGUGUGCCAAACGCUCCGGCGCCGAAGGAUGUGGCUGCGGCCGAUUAGGUAGACGGUGGGGUAACGGCCCACCGUGCCAAUAAUCGGUACGGGUCAUGAGAGUGAGAACCCGGAGACGGAAUCUGAGACAAGAUUCCGGGCCCUACGGGGCGCAGCAGGCGCGAAACCUUUACACUGCACGCCAGUGCGAUAGGGGGAUCCCAAGUGCACAGGCAUAGUGCCUGUGCUUUUCGACACCCUAAGGCGGUGUCAGAAUAAGGGCUGGGCAAGACCGGUGCCAGCCGCCGCGGUAAUACCGGCAGCCCAAGUGAUGGCCGAUCUUAUUGGGCCUAAAGCGUCCGUAGCUGGCCGCGCAAGUCCAUCGGGAAAUCCGCCCGCUCAACGGGCGGACGCCCGGUGGAAACUGCGUGGCUUGGGACCGGAAGGCGCGACGGGUACGUCCGGGGUAGGAGUGAAAUCCCGUAAUCCUGGACGGACCGCCGAUGGCGAAAGCACGUCGCGAGAACGGAUCCGACAGUGAGGGACGAAAGCCAGGGUCUCGAACCGGAUUAGAUACCCGGGUAGUCCUGGCCGUAAACAAUGUCUGCUAGGUGUGGCUCCCGCUACGAGCGGGUGCUGUGCCGCAGGGAAGCCGCUAAGCAGACCGCCUGGGAAGUACGUCCGCAAGGAUGAAACUUAAAGGAAUUGGCGGGGGAGCACUACAACCGGAGGAGCCUGCGGUUUAAUUGGACUCAACGCCGGACAUCUCACCAGCAUCGACUGUAGUAAUGACGAUCAGGUUGAUGACCUUAUCCGAGCUACAGAGAGGAGGUGCAUGGCCGCCGUCAGCUCGUACCGUGAGGCGUCCUGUUAAGUCAGGCAACGAGCGAGACCCGCACCCUUACUUGCCAGCAGUAUCGCGAGAUAGCUGGGGACAGUAGGGGGACCGCCGUGGCUAACACGGAGGAAGGAACGGGCAACGGUAGGUCAGUAUGCCCCGAAUGUGCUGGGCAACACGCGGGCUACAAUGGUCAGGACAAAGGGUUCCAACUCCGAAAGGAGACGGUAAUCUCAGAAACCUGAUCGUAGUUCGGAUUGUGGGCUGCAACUCGCCCACAUGAAGCUGGAUUCGGUAGUAAUCGCGUUCAC
RNAcentral lists this ribosomal RNA (1261 nucleotides) under archaeon DSFBPG_UR3B. RNAcentral's name for it is "bacterial SSU rRNA". It matches the Rfam family "Archaeal small subunit ribosomal RNA", at positions 45 to 1308 of the family's 1478-position model. The record is from RNAcentral.